GAUUAACGCUGGCGGCGUGCAUAACACAUGCAAGUCGAACGAUGAAACUUAAAUGAUUUCUUCGGAAUGAACUUAAGUGGAUUAGUGGCGGACGGGUGAGUAACGCGUGAGUAACCUGCCUUACACAAGGGGAUAGCCGUUGGAAACGACGAAUAAUACCCUAUGAUGUUUCUAUCUCGCAUGAGAUAUUAACCAACGUGUUAGCGGUGUAAGAUGGACUUGCGUCUGAUUAGCUAGUUGGUGAGAAAAAAGCCCACCAAGGCAACGAUCAGUAGCCGGCUUGAGAGAGUGUACGGCCACAUUGGGACUGAGACACGGCCCAGACUCCUACGGGAGGCAGCAGUGGGGAAUUUUGCACAAUGGGGGAAACCCUGAUGCAGCGACGCCGCGUGAUUUAGAAGGCCUUCGGGUUGUAAAAAUCUUUUGUAUAGGAAGAAAAUGACAGUACUAUACGAAUAAGGUCCGGCUAAUUACGUG
This 477-nucleotide ribosomal RNA is filed under the name uncultured bacterium. Its description in RNAcentral is "partial 16S ribosomal RNA". It matches the Rfam family "Bacterial small subunit ribosomal RNA", at positions 28 to 507 of the family's 1533-position model. The record is from RNAcentral.